Vitis vinifera (wine grape) is the source of this 706-nucleotide long non-coding RNA. RefSeq lists it as uncharacterized. The record is from RefSeq and is a predicted model, not a curated record. The transcript has 3 exons. Lineage: Eukaryota; Viridiplantae; Streptophyta; Magnoliopsida; Vitales; Vitaceae.
GUUGGCUCCACAGAAAGCAUUGAUAGAAGUUUACUUUGGAAGAGGGCAAUGCAAAAAAAAGAUGGCAGCUAUGAUGAUGUGGUCCUACCGGUAGUGGAAAAAAUAGAUGAAUUGAUGAAAGAGUCUCAAGAGAGUGGCAUAAGCUAUAGUGGGAGCAAUGACAUACUUUCUCAAGCACUAGGUACUCCUGAGUAUACUGGUCGGGUUCGAGCUAAAGGGAAGCACUACACACGCUUGGACAAUAUUUCAAUAGUAUGUCAGAACGUGUUGUGAGGGAUAUUUUAAAAGCAACUCAAGAACGUCAAGUUAAGUUUGAGGCUGAUGUGUUAGCGAGACUAUCUCAGAUAGGAGUUGCUACACCAUAACCUAAUGUGAGUAGUUCCAACAUGAAAUCAAAACUGUUGCUUCUACCAGAAGUAGUGGAGAAACCAAUUCGUAAAGUUGAGGAAGAGACCUUACCUGUGAAAAUAGAACCACACAUGAAGGCAAGAAAAUGUGAGUUGGCAGUAGGGACUAGAGAAAAUACAGUGGCUGGUGGAACAAUUGUAAUGGAUUGUGGUCCCAACUACCUAGUUGUUUUGGAUGCUCCCUAUGAGUCAAAUACACCACUUCCUAUUCCCAUUCCUGGACAAGCUACAACAGUUGGAGCGGCAGUGGGCUACCAAGUUUUAUGGCCAACCCAUUUAGUCAAUUUGAGUACUAAAUU